RNAcentral lists this non-coding RNA (30 nucleotides) under Homo sapiens (human). Lineage: Eukaryota; Metazoa; Chordata; Mammalia; Primates; Hominidae. The record is from RNAcentral.
UGUAUGAAGAACGGGUGGCAUUUUGGAGUU